This 301-nucleotide ribosomal RNA is filed under the name uncultured bacterium. Its description in RNAcentral is "partial 16S ribosomal RNA". It matches the Rfam family "Bacterial small subunit ribosomal RNA", at positions 509 to 808 of the family's 1533-position model. The record is from RNAcentral.
CAGUCGCCGCGGUAAUACGUAGGUCCCGGGCGUUGUCCGGAUUUAUUGGGCGUAAAGCGAGCGCAGGCGGUUAGAUAAGUCUGAAGUUAAAGGCUGUGGCUUAACCAUAGUACGCUUUGAAAACUGUUUAACUUGAGUGCAAGAGGGGAGAGUGGAAUUCCAUGUGUAGCGGUGAAAUGCGUAGAUAUAUGGAGGAACACCGGUGGCGAAAGCGGCUCUCUGGCUUGUAACUGACGCUGAGGCUCGAAAGCGUGGGGAGCAAACAGGAUUAGAUACCCGUGUAGUCCCUGUCUCUUAUACA